Molecule: ribosomal RNA, 459 nt
Filed under: Escherichia coli
Lineage: Bacteria; Pseudomonadati; Pseudomonadota; Gammaproteobacteria; Enterobacterales; Enterobacteriaceae
Description: partial 23S ribosomal RNA
Rfam family: Bacterial large subunit ribosomal RNA
Source: RNAcentral
AGGUGAUAUGAACCGUUAUAACCGGCGAUUUCCGAAUGGGGAAACCCAGUGUGUUUCGACACACUAUCAUUAACUGAAUCCAUAGGUUAAUGAGGCGAACCGGGGGAACUGAAACAUCUAAGUACCCCGAGGAAAAGAAAUCAACCGAGAUUCCCCCAGUAGCGGCGAGCGAACGGGGAGGAGCCCAGAGCCUGAAUCAGUGUGUGUGUUAGUGGAAGCGUCUGGAAAGGCGCGCGAUACAGGGUGACAGCCCCGUACACAAAAAUGCACAUACUGUGAGCUCGAUGAGUAGGGCGGGACACGUGGUAUCCUGUCUGAAUAUGGGGGGACCAUCCUCCAAGGCUAAAUACUCCUGACUGACCGAUAGUGAACCAGUACCGUGAGGGAAAGGCGAAAAGAACCCCGGCGAGGGGAGUGAAAAAGAACCUGAAACCGUGUACGUACAAGCAGUGGGAGCCU